AAACCGGCUCUUUUUAGAGCCACUAGGUUGUCUAAGGAGGCGGUCU
Molecule: non-coding RNA, 46 nt
Organism: Trichobilharzia regenti
Lineage: Eukaryota; Metazoa; Platyhelminthes; Trematoda; Strigeidida; Schistosomatidae
Source: Rfam